AGGCUAUUUUCUGAGAAAGAGUGCCUUGCAGUUAGAGAGUGUUAUCACCAGCUGAUUGACUGGGAAGGAACUGGAAUAAUUAAUACCAGAGGAAUCAUAGGAUAUGUUGCUAGAAGAAUCUGCAUCAGCAAAGUGUAAUAUCUAUGAAGAAAUGGUUACUCUCAGGUGGACCUUUUUGAAUUUGUGAAAGCGCUAUUUCUUAAAGCACCAGGCAUGUGUGUCACAGCAAGAGGAUUUUUUUUAGACUGAGAUUAAAUGACAAUCACUUGUUUAUGUAAUAUCCCAGAUUUUUCUGAAUAGUGGGAGUUUCCCCAAGCCCCUUGAAAAUAGAGAAGAGAGAUCUCAGUGUUUUUUUUCUUCUUACUGAGUAUCAUAUGUGAGAUACUGUGAACAUUUCAGCUAUAAAAAUGUUGGUUCAUUUUAUACAUUGAAGAAGUCACUGUGAGACACAUCUAUAGAAAACCACUAUCUUGGUUCUGUUACUCCCAGAAUAGUUCAGUGCUAAUUCAGUGCAGAAUAGCAGUGCUGUAGUGAAUUCCUGCUCUCUGUAAAGAAAAGUCUGGGAUGUAGAAUGCUACCUCCAACAAAAUUAAGUUUGAGGUCAGGAUAUCCAUCUCUGUCAAGGAGUUCUGAGAAUUUUAUUUCAGAACUCAAAAUAACAUUAAUUAAAGCAUACUAACAAAACAGUACUGCAGGUAACUUCAACAUGAUCAGUAAUAUAUGAGCAUUUUUUAUACAUUACAGAUAGUUUUUUUUUUUUUUAUUUUUAAGGCAUAAUUCCUUAAUUCUAUCUGCUCUGUCAGCUAUAAAGAACACCAGCAAUUCUGACUUGCACUAAUGUCAUAACAGCACUAUAAAAUAAAAUGGGAUAUGUUGUGAGGGAAUCAGCUGGCCAAACAGCUGAUACCUGCUGAGUUGAUGAGAUAGGUCAAGUCAAGUUUAAAUUGACUCUAAGUGUUAGGCAGGCUAAAAUUUUCUUCCCUGCCAUAUUUCAGGUCCUGACUGCUCAGACCUGAUGUUUUGACUCAAGCACAGGUGUGGGUUGACAAUUACUAUCUGCAGGAGGCCUAUCAUCAGGAGGAGAAGUAUUAUCUUCAAUGGCUCCUGUUUAUCCUUUGGGUAAAUUGUCAGCACUGGAGUCAAACAGGCCUAAACCUGUUCUGAAAUUUCCAAAGAAUGUUCAUGUUUUAAGGAAAACAAAAUAUUUUUUAUCGAUCUUUUGGCCCAAAUAGGCACAUUCAUUCUUAAACAGUGAGAAAAUGUGCAGUUUGUCAAUAUAAUAUAUUGACAUAUUGAUAUAUGUGGAAUACUAUAAGAAAGUUUGUGCAAGUUGUCUGCCACAGUGCAACUGAUUCUAUUUAAAUAUAUCUUUAACAUCAUCUAUUUCGUAGCAUGUUUUCUUUUUUUAAUCUAUCUAUCCAGUUACAAUGUUUAGUAUUGUGUUAACUGUUACAUUAAAAAUGUCCUUAACUCUUAUGUUUUAUCCUGUUCAAUUAUUUUUUUUGCAGGGAUUGGCAGAUUCAACUUAGAUGCUUUGAUUUUUCUGUAAGGAAUAAGAAAAAUUCUUUGUAGACAAUUUGCUGGUUUUUUUCCUUCCUUUUGAAGAAAGUGUAGGGUUUUCUACAGUAAUUACUUAGAGAUCUGUUUAACUGCUACCAGGUAGCCUGAUGUUAACACCUGUAGCACAGAAAGACAUGAAGAAUAGUUUCCUUUCUAGCUAGUUAUAGAAUUGGUUUGAAUUUUUUUCUUUGAAAAAUUAAUUUUGAAAAUGGUUCUAAAGUAGAAAUCUACCAUGUAUUUAAAAUAUGCA
Non-coding RNA from Meleagris gallopavo (turkey), 1810 nucleotides. The record is from RefSeq and is a predicted model, not a curated record. Lineage: Eukaryota; Metazoa; Chordata; Aves; Galliformes; Phasianidae.